UACGUAGGGUGCAAGCGUUGUCCGGAAUUAUUGGGCGUAAAGAGCUCGUAGGCGGCUUGGCACGUCGACUGUGAAAACCCGGGGCUCAACUCCGGGCCUGCAGUCGAUACGGGCUGGCUUGAGUGCGGUAGGGGAGACUGGAAUUCCUGGUGUAGCGGUGAAAUGCGCAGAUAUCAGGAGGAACACCGGUGGCGAAGGCGGGUCUCUGGGCCGUAACUGACGCUGAGGAGCGAAAGCGUGGGGAGCGAACAGG
RNAcentral lists this ribosomal RNA (253 nucleotides) under uncultured bacterium. RNAcentral's name for it is "partial 16S ribosomal RNA". It matches the Rfam family "Bacterial small subunit ribosomal RNA", at positions 524 to 776 of the family's 1533-position model. The record is from RNAcentral.